GGAAGGGAAAGAAGACAGGACACUUUAAAGCUGCCAAACUGCUUUGCAAAAAAGGAUACAGAAUACGUUGGAAAGAGAGCACACAAGAGAAUGAUCCUUUUUCAGAUCAAGAGACAGUUUCCUUGGACAUGCAGAAAUAGAAAAGAUAUGCUUGUUUGUGAAAUGUGGUUCCAUGACUAUAGCUACUGACUGAGUCCUAACUUUAUGUGUGAGUGGAUCUGUACUACUCAUAUCUAUCCAGACUUUACAAAAUGGAAGAAAUCAGUAAAAAGAUCACCGAAAAAAAAAUC
Molecule: long non-coding RNA, 290 nt
Filed under: Phasianus colchicus (ring-necked pheasant)
Lineage: Eukaryota; Metazoa; Chordata; Aves; Galliformes; Phasianidae
Description: lncRNA (ENSPCLG00000001011.1)
Source: RNAcentral